GCGAUCAAGCUCAUUCUUACUUCUAACAAAGCUUGUAGUCCUCUUAUUUGCAGUAAGGGUUUUAAAUAUGGACAACACAGCAGCUGCACUAACUGUAGAGGGGGCACCAGCAGAGAAUGUAGCCACAUUGUCUUGGUAUGUCACAUGAUAAUGUUUCAUUAAACUAGUAAGUAAUUCCUGAGCCUCUGUAACAUAUUUUCCAGCAGCCUCUUCUCCAAAAAGAGCAAUAUAGCAAGCAUGUAACAUUGUCAUCUUAAGACGUGGAUCAAGAAUAACAGCAACAGCCAUAAGACCAUGGAUGUCAGCCCAAUACUUAUCAUACUUUUCUAUCAUGGCAGCAGACAUGUUCCUAAUAGUUUCAUCUUCAUCAUGACCCCAAGAGUUGAGUUUAAGUUUAAUCUCACAUACUUUAGGAAAGAACAGGUUAGCUGUAACAUAUUUUGUCCCAGAAAAUAACUCAGUAAGCUCAUAGAAUAUCCCUAAUUUCUCACAAACAUUAGUAGCAAAUGUCCAAUCAUCUGCUGCUGGACAAUCAUAGUUCCUAUCGAGCUCACCCAAACGUUCAAAAACCUUCCUAUAAGGUAUAGCAAUGCUAAGCAUGAUGUAGGUUGAGUUCCAUCUAGUUUUGCAGUCUAAAUGCAACUUCUUGUCCAAUUCAACAUUUUCAUCUAGAGCAGUUUUCUCAAACUUUUCGUACCUUUUUGGAGUAGCAAUCCAAUAAGCAACACUUUCUCGGAUGUGCGCAACUGCAGUUCCAAUUACUACCAUGCCAUCUUUCACAAUGAGGUUGAGAAUAUGUGCACAACACCGCAUGUGCAGCCAUUUUCCUUUCAAUAGCAUAUUAG
RNAcentral lists this long non-coding RNA (845 nucleotides) under Setaria italica (foxtail millet). Its description in RNAcentral is "long non-coding RNA (SITA_LNC006426)". Lineage: Eukaryota; Viridiplantae; Streptophyta; Magnoliopsida; Poales; Poaceae. The record is from RNAcentral.